CCUACGGGUGGCAGCAGUGGGGAAUAUUGGACAAUGGGGGGAACCCUGAUCCAGCCAUGCCGCGUGUGUGAAGAAGGCCCUCGGGUUGUAAAGCACUUUCAGUGAGGAAGAACGCCUGGUGGUUAAUACCCAUCAGGAAAGACAUCACUCACAGAAGAAGCACCGGCUAACUCCGUGCCAGCAGCCGCGGUAAUACGGAGGGUGCGAGCGUUAAUCGGAAUUACUGGGCGUAAAGCGCGCGUAGGUGGCUUGAUAAGCCGGUUGUGAAAGCCCCGGGCUCAACCUGGGAACGGCAUCCGGAACUGUCAAGCUAGAGUGCAGGAGAGGAAGGUAGAAUUCCCGGUGUAGUGGUGAAAUGCGUAGAGAUCGGGAGGAAUACCAGUGGCGAAGGCGGCCUUCUGGACUGACACUGACACUGAGGUGCGAAAGCGUGGGUAGCAAACAGGAUUAGAUACCCCGGUAGUC
RNAcentral lists this ribosomal RNA (465 nucleotides) under Vreelandella stevensii. RNAcentral describes it as "partial 16S ribosomal RNA". It matches the Rfam family "Bacterial small subunit ribosomal RNA", at positions 338 to 795 of the family's 1533-position model. The record is from RNAcentral. Lineage: Bacteria; Pseudomonadati; Pseudomonadota; Gammaproteobacteria; Oceanospirillales; Halomonadaceae.